Molecule: ribosomal RNA, 469 nt
Filed under: uncultured bacterium
Lineage: Bacteria
Description: partial 16S ribosomal RNA
Rfam family: Bacterial small subunit ribosomal RNA
Source: RNAcentral
GACGAACGCUGGCGGCGUGCUUAACACAUGCAAGUCGAACGGAAAGGCCCUGCUUGCAGGGUGCUCGAGUGGCGAACGGGUGAGUAACACGUGGGUGAUCUGCCCCUUACUUUGGGAUAAGCCUGGGAAACUGGGUCUAUUCUUGAAUAGGCCCUUGCUUUAGGGGGUUGGUUGGAAGGAUUGGUUUCGGUAAGGGAUGAGCUCGCGGCCUAUCAGCUUGUUGGUGGGGUAAUGGCCUACCAAGGCGUCGACGGGUAGCCGGCCUGAGAGGGUGGACGGCCACAUUGGGACUGAGAUACGGCCCAGACUCCUACGGGAGGCAGCAGUGGGGAAUAUUGCACAAUGGGCGCAAGCCUGAUGCAGCGACGCCGCGUGGGGGAUGACGGCCUUCGGGUUGUAAACUCCUUUCAGCCAUGACGAAGCCCUUGUGGUGACGGUAGUGGUAGAAGAAGCACCGGCUAACUACGUG